CCCUAGCAAUUGUGAAACUUACUCUCUUCCCAAGUGUUUACAAGCAGCUGAGGGGGCUAACCAUGGCCAUUUCCGGGAGCCCUCCAUGAGAAUCCUGCAGAUGACAGACUUCUAACUAGCUUAGUGGCAUGUACACUCUACACCUUUUUGUCCUUCCUACUGACAAGGGAGCCAAGUUUUUGUUUUCAUGUCCUUCUCCAUGGCUUUUAAAUGGAGACAAAUGAAGAGGGAUGAGAAAGAAAAGCUCUACCAAAAGAAGAAAUGCCUACCACUGAGUUUUUGCUCUGUUGGUGAAAUUCAUUGGAACAAACAAAGUCUCUAACACCAGGCAGCUUUAGAGGGAUGCGUCUGAUACUGGAAGUUUCUGAUACCACAAAAAGAUACUUUUCCAAGGCUACAGGAAGCUGACAAUCCUGGUUGACAGUGGAGUGGCCCAGUUGAACCCAGCGUGUUCUUGACUUAGAUCUCCCCAGAUGUUUGCAUCCUUGAUCACUGUGCACUGAUCCUGGUCCCCAGCAAGGACCAGCCCUACCCCCUUGGAGGAAAUGGCUAAGCAGUCUCAGCAGCAACAGAUGAAAACUUCCUUCCUCUUCAUCCAGCUGCAGCCCUCCCCUGCCCGAACUCCCGCCCAGUCUCCAGCAUUCACAGCCCCAGCCACAACCACAGCCUCAGCAGCUGCCCAGAGGGGAGCAGUGAAGGAACACUGUUCCCUAAAUCCCAGGACAGAACCCAGAGCAAGCCAAGACCUCUGGCUCAAAGGACGGGUGGUGGAGACUCCUUCGUGGCUGCUGCCAGAAGAGGACUAUGGGACAGAGCAGGCAGCUGCAUUCAGCUGUUUAUUGCUGAAGGAGGAAGAGGAGGAAAAAGCUAAGGAUCGAGUUCUGAGGAAGGAUUGUGUGUCUCAUUUCUUGCAACACCAGGCUCUGCCUCCUCAGGAAUCUGGGCAGCCACAGGCAUGGCCGCGUAGUUUUCCUAGUCCAGCUCUCGGGAUGAGCAAUGGGACCGGCAGUCCCUUCACCUACUGGAGUCCCUGUUCCAUCAUUUCUGCCCCCCAAGCCCUGUGGAGCAUGGAUCACCAGCCCAGGGCUGCUUUGGGGCCCUCAGUCCUCCAGGCAGCUCUGCCGGCAACUUGUGCCAGGACUGUGGAGGCAAUGCAGUGGAGUGUGGAUGCUGCCGGAACGUCCCUCACACAUCCAGGGCAGCGUCAGGAGCUACCAGCUAGAAGUCGAGGCUGCUGUUUGAUGGAACCAAGGAGUGGUAAAAGAGGAGCCAGGACCCCUCUGCUGGCGAUAAAAGCCAAGGAAUAUAGAUACUGCCCCCAGGUACAGACCAGCAGGACCUACCCAGCACCACCUCCUGCCCCACGGCUUAAGGCAGAGACAUUUGUUUGGGGUAACAAUGGAUCAGCUCAUUCCAAGAGUGUUGCCAAGGCCAAAUAUGAAUUUUUAUUUGGCAGACCAGAAGAGAAAGCCCCAGAAACCAGUGACCAUGGAGGAAGCACUUUACUCCCACCCAAUAUCACCAAUGAAUUUACAGAAUAUGGGACCAUGGAAGAAAGGGGAGAAGUUCUCAGAGCUUCACUUGAAUUUGAUGCAGACAGCGAACAGUGCUGCAUGCAGGGGCGGGAGCGGGGCCAGCUCUUGGUUGGCCCCCAGUGUGGUGCCGAUGGUCCUACUGCCAGAGGACUGAAUCAUGAGGGGGAAGCAUCCUCACACGGGCACCUCAAGGACCCAAGUUUGCCACAGCCCAUUGGCUCCCUGGCCUCAGCCCCAAGCGCUGCAGAAAUGAGCAUGGCUUCGGGCGGACUGCAAGCACCAAAGGUACUAGAAGGAGAUGUGGUUUCUGUUUCAUCAUCCCGACGAAUGGAAAAAGGCACGAAAGCCACCCGCCGGGAAGCACGAGGAGCCAACAGACCAGUGACUGCUGGCCAAGAAAAACCACCAGAAACACCUCUUCCAGCUGAACUAAUAACUGAGGAAAAUUUUUAUUUGAGUAUUGAAAAGGAUUUGACUGCCUUAUUAACUGGGGACACCCAGCCAAUGUCCCAAAUCACAAAUAAUGGGAAGAAAGAGACCACCAGAGGGCAAGAGAUGACCUGCCAAAAGCUCUCUGGGGAGAUACCAGCAGCCACCCAUAGAGCAGAGGGCACCAUUAACUUUGUGGGGGGGAAAUGGUCUGAUAUGGGGAGGAAGCAGCUAGGAUUUGAUCGAGAUACUGUCUUCAGGGCAUCCUUAGAGCAGGGGAGCUCGACGGGCCGCUCUGGCAGGAUCAAACAUGUAGGAUUUCAAGGGGUAGAGAUUCUGUGGACAGGGGGAGAAGAGGAAGAAAUGAGACAUGCCUCAGCAGAUGUGGAGGCCUCUGUGGAAAGGACAGCCUUUUCCAAAAACAAGGAGUUUUCCAAAGGAUCAGGUCAUCCUGUUCCAUCUGUGGCUUUCUCUCAUUCAGUCAGGUUGAUGGAGGGUGUUUGGGAUGAACCUUGGAAAAAUUCUUCAGAAAGGUUUGGAACUAGAUCAGGGACAUUUUCUCCAGGAUUGCUUGUGGAAGGAGGAGAGGAUGAAGUGUUUUUGAAGGAAAAUGAACAACAUCCUGAGAAGAAGUCUGUGCCAGAGGAGGAAGUGAAAAGGAUCACUGAGCAAGAGGAAUCAACCAGAGAAGAUGAUGAUGUUCUGGGGCCUGGGUAUACAGAGGACUCAACUGAUGUGUACAGCUCCCAAUUUGAAACCAUUUUGGAUAACACUUCUUUAUACUACAGCGCAGAGUCAUUGGAGACGUUAUAUUCAGAACCUGAUAGCUAUUUCAGCUUUGAGAUGCCUCUCACACCGAUGAUCCAGCAGCGCAUCAAGGAAGGCAGUCAGUUCUUAGAGAGAACUUCAGGGGGGGGACAGCAAGAUGUUCUCAGUGUCUCUGCUGAUGGUGGGAUAAUAAUGGCCUAUCCCGGAGAGAUCACCAAUGGGACAAAUGAUGCCGAUGAGACUGUCUACAGAAAGGGCACCCCUGAGAUGGCUUUCUGGGGAAGCAGCAAUGCUGGGCUGAAAAAGUCCAAUCACGAGCCCCAUUGUGAAAUGGGGAGUACUGAAUUUUUGGAAAAAGAACCUUCUGAGACUAUCAGCAAUGGAACAAAUAGUAAUGUGGAGGCGGCUAGACGGUUGGCCAAGCGUCUUUACCAUCUUGAUCAUUUCAAACGUUCAGAUGUGGCCAAACAUUUAGGGAAGAACAAUGAAUUCAGUCAACUAGUGGCUGAGGAAUACCUUAAGUUUUUUGAUUUUACAGGAAUGACGCUGGAUCAGUCUCUCAGGUAUUUCUUCAAAGCAUUUUCCCUUAUGGGGGAAACCCAAGAACGAGAGAGAGUUUUAGUCCACUUCUCCAACAGAUAUUUUCAUUGUAACCCAAACACCGUUUUCUCAGCAGACGGGGUUCAUUGCCUCACUUGUGCCAUCAUGCUUCUCAACACCGAUCUACAUGGUCAUAAUAUUGGAAAGAAGAUGUCUUGUCAAGAGUUUAUUACGAAUCUCCAGGGUGUGAAUGAAGGCAGUGAUUUUCCCCGGGACCAGCUGAAGUGCCUUUGAUGUGUACUGGUUACUUUGAAGUCAUCAUGAAGCCCCUGAAAUGAAACCUGAAAGCUUUGUCAGGUUUGAAGUCAACAGUGGAUCCUUGCUGCCUUUUCCCCUCAAGGGUGGUGAAUCAAGAUACCUAUCCCAGGUAGAUGCAUGUGUUUGAAGUCAAUAAAAUGAGCAUAAACCAUCCUAGUGAAAGCUUUGUUUGGUACUCAUUUGUGCAUUAAUCCAUGGCCCAAAUGUUGUGUUUUGCUUUUCUAAAUGGCCAUGUUUAGUGUUUUGUUUUUUUUGAAAUUGUUCUCCAGCAACGCAUGGGCUAAGUACAUCCAUUCCUUAACACUCCUAAGCUGACUAAAACUGUGAUAUGCUCUCUUAAAAGAGAGUUUAUCAUUUGAUCUCCUCAGGGUAAAAGUAAUUUAUUAAAGUGAAGUAGGAAUCAGGAGGAAAGGGAGAUGAAGCAAGGAAUAAAUUAAAACAAAUAUUAGACCCAGAGGGUCAGUAAAGAAAAACAAAAUAUUUUAAAUGAAGAUGAAUGUCUUCUGUCUGACAAGCAAGGAAGAUGAUUAUGAAGUAUAAAAUUACACUUUACAAAUUCCCCACCAUCAGACUGCUUUAUCUCUGACUUUUGUGUUUAAAGGUAAAUGGACAAAAAAUUAAGUGGCCUUUAACUAUUUUGAGACAAGCUUUUUGGGGGGAAAGGGAGGAUGUUAAUAGGGAGAGGUGUUAAAUUCUGAGUGUUUAAGAGAAAUCUACAGACUAGCUAGUUUAACCUGUAUGCUUUUGCCUAUGGAACUAACUUAUUCAUAGCCCCUGGCAUGUUAGGAUGGGGUAAGAUAGAGCACAUUUUUUUUCUCCCAGUAUUUAUUUUUUUAAAUUUCAUUCAUACCUACAAAAUGUAUAGAUGAAGAAUAAUGGGGAGUAGCCCAGGGGGUCAGUGGGUAGGAAUCCAGGAGGUCCUGGGUUCAAAUGUGGUUUCAGUCACUUCUUAGCUAUGUGACCUUGGGCAAGUCACUUAUCUCCCAUUGCCUAUCCUUUACUGCUCUUCUUACUUGGAACUGAUACUUAGUAUCAAUUCUAAGGCAGAAAUUAAGGGUUUAAUUAAAAACACACACACACACAAAUCUGUAAAAUGGGGAAUGAGUGUAAAAAUGAAAAUGGAAGGGAGGGCUCAGAAUUGAAAGGUCCAGUAGGGUUCAGGAUGUGUAUAGAAUCAUGGGCUCCUUGAGUUUGAAUCUUGUCUUUAACAUCCUUGCUUUCCAAAGAUCAGUUGAACUAAGUAGUAAUAGGUUCAUCACCAGUAGACUGGUUACAUAGCAAGAAAUUCUUAGGCUAUGGUAACCCAAAGUAAAAUUCCAAAUGGCCCUCACCUUUGUGCUGCUCCCUUUUAUUUCUGUUUUGGCAAUAGAAGAGAAUCAGAGAAUUGCAUGUUUUUGCAUGCACGGAAUUGCACAAUUUCUAUGCCAUAUACGGUUCUUGGAACUCUAAAUGUGAUUUCCUUGUCCAGUGACCGAGUGAUCGUAGUACAGGAAGAGAUGAGUCUUGAUAUUCUUACUAUAAAUGAAGCCAUGAGAAAGAAAGAAACAACCAGAUGAAAGAUUGGUGCCCAGUGCAAGGCUGAUUCACCAGGAGAAAUCAGUGAAGAAAAAGAUAACAAAGGCAUAGGAAACAUUUUAAGAUGUUAUUAAUACUGAAAAGAAGGAAACUGAUGGUGACAAGAAUACAGGCUGUAAGUCCAUCCUAUUCUUUUUCUAUGAAGUCAUCCUUCUUCGACCACAGUGAUUCCACCAAGACUCAAGCCCUCCCUCCUGAUGCUGAUCUCAGAGCAACUAAGGAUGCAGAAGGGCUCAGAGUUUGGGACUUGGGGAGCUUGGGGCUCCACUCUUAGAAUUAGAAAUCAACAUAAUCACAGGUGAAAUAGGUUUCUCUGAUCUAGGUCAGGAAAUUCAAUGUGGUGGGGGUGAUUCCAUGGAGCAUAUGCUCUGGCUCUCUGGGGAUGGACAUGCGCUCUAUGGAAUCACCCCCGCUACAUAAGUAUCUUUAUAAUAAAGACAUAGAAUUUUAGAAGCUGAAGAGACCUUGGAGAUCAUCUAGUCCGGCAUCUUCAUUUUACAGAUGAGGCUUGAAGAGGAAACACAUCUAGAGGUGGAUGAAAUAAACGCAACCUGUAAGAGAAGAUGGCUAAGAACACUUUUAUAAUAAUAAAUUUGUUUUAAAAUUGAAUAUUUCUGAUUCUAGAAAUCUUUGCUUUCUGGGACAUACAAAAAUUUGUUUUGUAAUGUCAAGAACUGUAUGUUAAAAGAGAAACCCAAAAGACCGUUAACAAAUGGAUCAGGGACAUUUUUUUGAAAAUAUGUUUAUUGGUAUAUCUUUUGUAUUUUCAUUUUCUAUAGUUCCCUUUAUUAUUCCUCCCCCAUCUCUUCCCAGAGAGUCAUUCUUUAUAACUGAUUUUUAAGGAAAAAAGAAAAGAAAAAGUCAGCAAAAUGGACCAAAAAUACAUAAAAAUAAAACCCAAAACCAAAUUGACAUUUGUUCUGCAUGCAUGGACCUUGCCAUUGCGGCAAAGGAGUGAAGGAAUUGUUUUCUCAUAUCUCAAAAAAAUUUGGGGGGCCAAGAUUUUUUUUUCCUUGUGAUUUUGUAACAUUCAUUUUCAAUUUGUUCGAUGAUCUUUCUUGCCAUUGACAGUGCUUUAGUCAUUAUAUAUAUAUUUUUUUCUUGGCUCUGCUUACCUUAUAUUGUAUUAGUUAUUGUCUUUCCAUGGCCUUUUUAUUCAUAAUUGUCAUUUCUUAUAGUAUCAUAAUAUGCCAUUAUAUUCCUGUACCACAAUUUAUUUAGCCAUUCCCCAAUUGAUGGGCCUGUAUUUAAUUUCCAAACCUUUGCUACCACAAAAAGUACUGCUAUAAAUAUUUUGGUAUAUAUGGAGCUUUUUUGUCAGUGACCUCCUUGGCAUUUAUAUCUAGUAGUGGAAUCAGAGGUCAGAAGGUAUGGACAUUUUAGCUACCUUAUUUGCAUAAUUUUAAAUUGCUUUCUUGAAUGACUAUACUAAUUUAGAGCUCCACUCACAAUGCAUUAAUUAUGUAUUUCUUCAUGGCCCAUCCAACAUUGACUUCUGUCUUCUGUCAUCUUUGCUGGGUGUGUGAUACAACCUCAAGGUUGUUUUGGUUUGCAUUUCUUUUAUUAUUAGCAGUUUUUAGGUCAUUCUUUCAAAAGGUUGUAAGUACUUUACUAUUCUCAUUUUAAGAAUUAUUCAUAUCCUUUGGGGAAUGGCUUUUGGUCUUUUGUAUUUCUCUUGGUUUAUGUAUCUUGGAUGUUUUAUCUGAGAAAUUUGAUUCAAACAUUUUCCCUUAAAUUGACUAUUUGCCUAGUUGCAUUAAUUUUGUUAAACUUUUCAAUUUUUUCAAUUUCAUGUAAUCAAAAUAACAUUUUUACAUUUUGUAAUUUCUCUACCUUUUGUUUGGUUAAGAAUUCAUCUACUCAUGACUGUGAAAGGUAUAUGAUCUCUCCCUAUUUUUAAUUGGUAUGAUCUUUAAUUACAGAUUGAAUAUCCAUUUUAAAUUUGUUGUGAAAUGUUAUGAUCUAAGACCAGUUUCUGCCAUAAUACUUUCCAGGUUUUCAAAACUUUUAAAAAUCAGAUAGGGAUUUCUUUCCUAAAUAAUUUUUUUUUGGUAUUUGUCUAACCUUGUGUUAUUUAGUUCCAUUUUUUUUUUCUGAUUGUCUGAUCUUUAGUUCUAUUGAACUAGCUCAACAAGUACCAUUCUCUCUCAUUCCUAGUUUUUUCAUUAUUUUCCUAGAUAGGUCAGAUAGUUUUUUAUUGUUUUAUCUUGCUUUGAAAAGUAACCCUUUGGUAUUUUGAUUGUUAUCCACAUUAAAAUUAUAAAUUGUCUUGGUUAUAUUGUCAUUUUUAUUAUAUUGGAAUGGUACAGUCAUAAGUUCUGAAUAUUUACCUAGCUAUUUGUUCUUUAUUUCUUUCAGGAACAUUUUAUAAUUAAAUAUUUAAAAAGUUUUGAAUGUGCUUUGGUAGAUUAUCUCAAAUCUUUAUGCAUUUUUUAGUUAUUUUGAAUAAGAUUUCUUGUUCUAUUACUGCCUCUUGGAUUUUGUUGUUAUAUUGAAAUGCCAUUGUUUUUUGUGAGUUUAUAGUUGCCUUCAACUUUACUGAAACUAUUGUUUCAAAUCAACAGGCAUUUAAAAAAUUAAUUAAAUUCCAAUAUUUUUCAAAGAAUAUAGCAUUUUAAACCCCCCCCACCCCCAGUUCUUGAGAUAUAGUAAGCAGUCUCAUGUAGAUUUUAUAUGUGCCAUCAUGUAAACCAUUUCUCCAUAUUAAUCCUUUUGUGGAAGGAAACUCAAAUAGAAAAAAAAAGAUUAAAGUGAAAAAAAUUUGUUUUGGUCUGUAUUCAGACUCAGUUCUUUUUCUCUGGAAGUAGUUGGCUUUUUUUUUUAUCAUGAGUCAUUUGAGAUAGUUUUGGAUCAUUGUAUUGCUGAGAAUGGUUAGUAUUCACAGUUCAUUAUAAAGUAUUCCAACAACAGGCAUUUUCAAGCACCCACUUUGUUACAGACACUGUACGUGUACAUACAAAUAUUUGUACACACACUAUUAUAUGUGUUUAUGUAUGUGCACACACACAAAGUAGGAGCUUUAAAAAUGCUUGUUUGGGGACAUUUAUGUAUAUAUGUGAGAGAAAUAGAAAUAGAUAUUGUUCAGCUCUUGUAGUCCUAUCCAACUUUUGUGACCCCCUUUGUUGGUUUUCUUGGCAAAGAUACAUUUCCUUCUCCACCUAAUUUUACAGAUGAGGAAACAUAAAAAGUGUGUGUGUGUGUGUGUGUGUGUGUGUGUGUGUGUGUGUGUGUGUGUGUGUGUGUGUGUUUAGUCUCUCUCUCCAUAACAUAGUUUGGAAGGGAAGCCAUUAGCAGUUGGGAUAUCAGGAAGGACUCAUGCAGAAGAUAUGCAUUUUUAUGGGGUGAAGGUGAAGAAGGAGCUUCUGGGUAUGAGUGAUGGCUAGGAUGAAAACAUGGAGACCGGAGAAUGGAGUAUUGCACGUAAAGAAUGAGGCAAUGACAGUUUGGCUAAUUUCAAAGUACAGGCCAGGUAGCAAAUGUUUAAUAAAAAAAAACAGGAAAGAUCAGUUGAUACCAGGUUAUGAAUGGCUUUUAUUUAUUUUUUUAACAGAUAAAUUAAUUUUAUUUAUAUCAUUUCCAAAAUUUUAGAAAUUUCUAAAAAUUUAAAAUUAUAUAAAUAUAAAAUUACAUGAGUUAUAAUUUUUCUAAAAUCAACAUACUUUACUCCCUAUAUCCUCUACUGGCAGAACCUUGUCAUCCAUAUUUGAACAACACAACAUAGCAAAUUUAAUCAUCUUGCCUUGCCUUCAUCCAAUAUAAAGUGAGGGUCCCAAUAUUACAGGGACACCACUUGGAUCCUGCAUAUUUCUCUGAAGUCCUUUAUUGUCACUCCUAGUACAGACUUAAUUUGCUCAAUCAACUUUAUAAUGCUCAGAGCUCUUUGAUCACUGUUUCUGGUCUGCAUCUCUUUUUCACAGUUCCUAUGGACUUUUUCCCAUGGUAUCUCUCAUACAAUUUCUGGCCAUUUUCUGCUAUUGUAAAAGUUAAAAUAGUCUCCAUUUUACACUACGUAUUCACCACUUCAUGAUUUAAAUUUCCCAUUGAUUCUGUCUCCUCCAGGAAGUUUGUCCUGAUUAGGUAAGGAUUCUUUUCUCACAACUAAAAUGAAAUGAAAAACUAUCCACUUGACUCCUGGUCUCCAUUUCCUAAAAAUAACAAUCAACCCCAAAUAAAUAGGAUCAAACAAAAGUAUUCAUUUCAUUAGCACAAGUCUGAUGUUUAUUUUAAUGUGUUUUACAGAGGUACUUAGUAAUCAAUAUAAAACUUUUUAAAAGCAUUAAACCUUUCCUUUAUUUAAAUAAGCAAAUAUGCAGUAACAUAUGUGUUUAUGAAUGGCUUUUAAAGGGAAACAAAGAACUUUUAUUUUAUCCUAAAGGCAGUAAGAAGUUAAUUGAGUAGAGGAGUAACAAGAUCAGAUAUAUUUGUAAGGAGAAUUUAUCAAUGGGUGGAGAGGCUAGAAAGGUGAUAAAAAGAAUUCUAGAAGAAUAAUGAGGAGGCAUUUGUAAUCAUCCAGGCAAUCACUCACAAAUGCCUAACCCAAGUUGGUAGCUUUGCGAGUAGAAAGAAGGGAGCAAAUAUGAGAUGUUUUAAAAGGGAAAUGAUGAGAUUUGAUAACUAAUUGGAUAUAAUGGGAUGAGGGAAAUUGAGGAGUCCAGAUUCAUACCAAGAUUUUAACUUAACAUACUGGAAAGAUGGUAGGACCUUCAACAGAAAGAAAAUUUGGAGAGUUCAACUUUAGACAUGUACAGUUUGAUGUUUCCAGUGAAUCUAAUUUUAAAUGUCCCAAUAAGUAAUUUGUGAUGCUAGACUAAAAUUCAAGGGAAAGAAUAAGGUCUGUUUGACAAGAGUUUGUUUAAAAAUUUUAUAUAUUUUAGAAUAUAUUUGUUUCAUUAAUGGAAUUUGGUAGUAAUUUCUUAGUUUUUGAGAUUAAUUUUUAUAUAAUAUUGGUAUUGAUUGUUUUGUAAAAGUUGUGAUAGAAUUUGCCAGUAAACUUAGUAGGCCAGUAAUCUGUUUUCUACCUUCCUCUUUGAGUAGGAUUUUUCUUUUUAACAACUAGUUUAACUUCAGUUUCUGAGAUUGUAUUAUUUAAGAUUGCUAAAUGAUAUUCUGUUGUUUAGGGCAUUUUAUAUAUUUUGAAUGCCAUCUAUUUCUUUUCUGUUGUGAGUUUUGUUGCUAGAACUGUUCAUAUUUUUAUUUUUUUUGUAAUGAUUUUUGUUAAUUUGUUGAUUUGAUUUUUCUACCCUUUUUAAAAAAUCCUUACCUUCCAUCUUAGAUUGAUAUUGAUUUGAUAUUGAUUCCAAGGCAUAGGAGUGGUAAGAGCUAGGCAAGGGGGGUUAAGUGACUUGUCCAGGGUCACACAGCUGGGAAGUGUCUGAGGUCAGAUUUGAACCUAAAACCUCCCAUCUCUAGACUUGGCUCUCAAUCCACAGAGCCACCCAGCUGCCCUGUCUAUCUUUUUCUAUCAGAUUUUUGAAAAGUUUAUCAAUUUUGUUGGUCUUUUAAAAAUAUUUGCCUUUAGUUUAUAAUUUCUGCAAUCUGUUUGGCUUCUAAUUUCUUUUCCUUUGAUUUUUAGUAUUUUUAUGCUUUUUGCAUUUGUUUUGAAUAAUUUCUAAUUUUUCUAAAUUUCUAGGAUUUAAAAUUUUAAUUUUAAAGAAUGUCUGUUUGUUGAUAGUUUAUUAAUUCUCUACUUUUUUCUUUUCCUAAUGCAUAUUUUUAGGAAUAUAUUAUUUUCCUGAUGAUUGCUUUAUCCAUAAGUCAGAAAUUUUCAUAUUUUUCUUAUCAUUAGCAUUGUUUUUCCAUGUAAUUAUUAUUAUGAUUUGACCUCAUUAUAUACAGUUUCAUUAUUAUGUCUCUUUUUAUUUUGCUCCAUGAACUUGACUACUAUUUUUAUUCUGUUAUAUAAAGCUAUUAAAGUAUUCUGCCUUUUAAAAUUUAUUCGUCAUUUCUUCAUACCCUAAUAAUAAGUAAUAAUUUAAAUAAAAUUUCCACUUUUACUGAUCUAUCUCUGUAUUAAUUUGUAUCUUCAGGAGUCCCUUUCAGAAGAGACUGCUAAUCUUGAGCUCAAAUUUCUCUAGGAAUUCAAUUGUUUUCCCUUUUAUCUUUCUUUUAGAUUUGCCCAUCUCUGAGAGAGGAACAUUGAAAACUGUUAUGAUUAAUCUUUUACUCUCUCUGUCUUGCUACUUAGUUAAUUUGUCUUUUGUACAUUUAGGUGUUUGGCUGUUGGGAUAUGCAACUUUUCUCUUGAUAUUAGUUCAUUGUUUAUUACGCAUCUCCCUUUAUUCUCCCCAUUCUUAAUUUUUAAAUUUGAAACCCUUUCUUUCUGCCUCAGUAACAACUUUUAGACAGAAGGCUAAGGGAUUAAGUGAGUUGCCAAGGGUCCUACAGUUGGGAACUGUCUGAGGUCAUAUUUAAACCCAGGUUCUCCCAUCUCCAAGCCCUGGGAGUCUAUCCAUUGUGCUACUUAGCUGCCCCUUCUUCCUAUUUUAGAUCCUCUUUUUGCCAAUUUCAUCUUGCUAACUAAGAGACUAAAAGAAUUAUUUUUUGUUGUUCACCCAUGGAUUUGGUUAGGGUACAUGAUACAUGUUCUUCUAUCCUUUACUUCCCUUCUAAUUCUGUGAGAAUUUUUCUCUUCUUAUACUUCAGUUUGGUCCUAAUAUAUAUAUAUAUAUAUAUAAAGUAGAUGAGACUGCAAAUUUAUUCUAUGAGUUUUAGGUUUGCCCCCUCACUUUGUGAAAUAGAAAAAGGACAACACAUACUCCCUGGGAUGUAGGGCUCAACAUGCCCUGUGGAAUAAAACAGGUGGAACUCAUAAAACUCCAAUACUUGUUUCUCCAGGUUUCUUCUAAAUUUCACUUUUGUCUUUAUCCCUUUGUGUUCUUUUACAGGGGAAAAAAGUGCCUUUUAAAAAAUUAACCCAAAACUAUAAACAACAUUUAUGAAACUUCUAAGUGUCCUGUUUUUUUCAUUGCCCCCUCCCCCACCAUAGAGCCAAUUGUUAAACUUUUAUUUGCCUGCACACUCCUGGUUGUACCCUUUCAGAAGUCCACCAAUUAUACAUCAGUGUACCUUUUUUUUUUUUAAAAAAGCACAUUCCUUCUAUCAUUUGUCAUUUUCCUUUUUUUUUAAAAUCAUCUUUGGCAGUCUGAUGGGUAUAAAAUGGAAUCUUAAGACUUCUUUAGUUUGCAUUUCUCUAUUUAUUGAUGAUUUAGAUGAUUUUAAAAUAUGACUAUAAAGAGCUUAAUUUUCCUCUAUUUAGAAUUUCCUAUUUAUAUUCUUCAUAUCUUUUGAUCUUUUUAUCAGUUGAGGACAGGCUUCUAUUCAUAUAAAUUUGAAUCUGUUCCUUAUAUCUCUAGGAAAUGAGAUCUUUAUCAAAAGAAGUUGCAAACCACCUGCAUUACACAGUUGUUUCCCAUUUAAGCUUAAUUUUAUUGGACUCAUUUCUGUGACAACUUAAAAAUUUUUUUCAAUACAUUUACUGAAAGCCUUCUGAAGAAAAUUCCACUUCUCCCAUAUAAGAACAACAAGAACAAUAGCAGCAGCAGCUAACAUUUAUAUAGAAUUUUAAAGUUGACAAGAUGCUUUGGAAAUGUUAUUUUAUCCUCACAACAACUCUGAAAGCUAGGUGCUAUUAUUAUCCCUAUUUUACAGAUGAAGAAACUGAGUCAAACAUGUUAGUUGACUUGGCCAGGUCAACACAGACAGUACCUUAGGCUAAAUUUGAACUCAAGUGUUUCUAAUUCCAAGUCUAACACUUAACCCUAUACAACCUCACUGCUUUAGUUGUUUAAUUCAUUUGUGGAAUUAGCACAGUGAUUUAAAUUGCAGUUUGGUCUUGGUGGAGCAUUGGGGUCUUAUUGCCUAAUGGAAUCAAAUAGUAAUUUGUUGACCUGAAUUUAGGGUUUACUCUGCUGGUGAAGGCUUAAAUUAAAAAAAGAAAAA
Molecule: non-coding RNA, 13103 nt
Organism: Monodelphis domestica (gray short-tailed opossum)
Lineage: Eukaryota; Metazoa; Chordata; Mammalia; Didelphimorphia; Didelphidae
Source: RefSeq, a predicted model, not a curated record